GGCUUCUCGCUUUUCAUGAAUGUGUCUCCCCCUCUGCUUAUGUGAGUUUUACCCGCCUUUUACUCUGCUUGCUUCUGACUCCCUAUGAGCCCUUACUUUUUCGGAGGGUCGGCGGGACAUGGGAGCCUCAGCUCAUGCAUCGGUUUACCGAAAUAACCUCUUCUCUCCCACUUCCUUCUAUUCAAAAGGCGAGCAGCCCUUAAACAAAAAGGCCUAAGAGGGUUCUUCUAGCGGGACAUGGGAGCCUCAGCUCAUGCAUCCGUUUACCGAAAUAACCUCUUCCCUCACACUUAUUUCUAUUCAAAAGGCGAGCUGCCCUUAAACAAAAAGGCCUAAGAGGUUCUUCUUUAUAUAUUACAUAAGCCCUAAAGUAGGUAGCCCCGAAAGCCGAACUCAGCAGAGUGGGUUUUGGCUUGCCCCUUUCUAUCUUAUUAGUCAAACCUAAACGUCCUUAUUUCAAAAAACAGCGCUAACACCCUAUCUAUAGUAAGGGGCCUUUUCAAUUCAAUCUCCCACUUGAUUUCGGACAGUCAAAUAUAAAGACUCUUUGUUAGCUCUUCGUGCCUCCUUGACUUCUCAAACUGAACUAAGACUGUCCAA
RNAcentral lists this long non-coding RNA (600 nucleotides) under Nicotiana benthamiana. Its description in RNAcentral is "long non-coding RNA (NBEN_LNC034735)". The record is from RNAcentral. Lineage: Eukaryota; Viridiplantae; Streptophyta; Magnoliopsida; Solanales; Solanaceae.